Molecule: ribosomal RNA, 447 nt
Filed under: uncultured bacterium
Lineage: Bacteria
Description: bacterial SSU rRNA
Rfam family: Bacterial small subunit ribosomal RNA
Source: RNAcentral
GAUCCUGGCUACAGAACGAACGCUGGCGGCAUGCCUAACACAUGCAAGUCGAACGAGACCUUCGGGUCUAGUGGCGCACGGGUGCGUAACGCGUGGGAAUCUGCCCUUUGCUUCGGAAUAACACAGAGAAAUUUGUGCUAAUACCGGAUAAUGUCGCAAGACCAAAGAUUUAUCGGCAAAGGAUGAGCCCGCGUAAGAUUAGGUAGUUGGUGGGGUAAUGGCCUACCAAGCCGACGAUCUUUAGCUGGUCUGAGAGGAUGAUCAGCCACACUGGGACUGAGACACGGCCCAGACUCCUACGGGAGGCAGCAGUGGGGAAUAUUGGACAAUGGGCGAAAGCCUGAUCCAGCAAUGCCGCGUGAGUGAUGAAGGCCUUAGGGUUGUAAAGCUCUUUUACCCGGGAUGAUAAUGACAGUACCGGGAGAAUAAGCUCCGGCUAACUCCGUG